CCUACGGGAGGCAGCAGCUAAGAAUAUUCCGCAAUGGACGGAAGUCUGACGGAGCGACGCCGCGUGGAUGAAGAAGGCUGAAAAGUUGUAAAAUCCUUUUGUUGAUGAAGAAUAACGGUAAGAGGGAAUGCUUAUCGGAUGACGGUAAUCGACGAAUAAGCCCCGGCUAAUUACGUGCCAGCAGCCGCGGUAACACGUAAGGGGCGAGCGUUGUUCGGAAUUAUUGGGCGUAAAGGGCAUGUAGGCGGUUGUGUAAGCUUGAUGUGAAAUCUCGGGGCUUAACCCCGAAACCGCAUUGGGUACUGCAUAACUUGAAUUACGGAAGGGAAACUGGAAUUCCAAGUGUAGGGGUGGAAUCUGUAGAUAUUUGGAAGAACACCGGUGGCGAAGGCGGGUUUCUGG
RNAcentral lists this ribosomal RNA (402 nucleotides) under uncultured Treponema sp. RNAcentral's name for it is "bacterial SSU rRNA". It matches the Rfam family "Bacterial small subunit ribosomal RNA", at positions 338 to 732 of the family's 1533-position model. The record is from RNAcentral. Lineage: Bacteria; Pseudomonadati; Spirochaetota; Spirochaetia; Treponematales; Treponemataceae.